GAAUAUUUGACAAUGGGGGGAACCCUGAUCCAGCCAUGCCGCGUGUGUGAAGAAGGCCUUUUGGUUGUAAAGCACUUUAAGCGAGGAGGAGGCUACUCUAGCUAAUACCUAGAGAUCGUGGACGUUACUCGCAGAAUCAGCACCGCCUAACUCUGUGCCAUCAGCCGCGGUAAUACAGAGGGUGCAAGCGUUGAUCGGAUUUACUGGGCGUAAAGCGCGCGUAGGUGGGAAAUUAAGUCAAAUGUGAAAUCCCCGAGCUUAACUUGGGAAUUGCAUUCGAUACUGGUUGGCUAGAGUAUGGGAGAGGAUGGUAGAAUUCCAGGUGUAGCGGUGAAAUGCGUAGAGAUCUGGAGGAAUACCGAUGGCGAAGGCAGCCAUCUGGCCUAAUACUGACACUGAGGUGCGAAAGCAUGGGGAGCAAAC
This 423-nucleotide ribosomal RNA is filed under the name uncultured bacterium. Its description in RNAcentral is "bacterial SSU rRNA". It matches the Rfam family "Bacterial small subunit ribosomal RNA", at positions 359 to 773 of the family's 1533-position model. The record is from RNAcentral.